AAUGGGGGAAACCCUGAUCCAGCCAUUCCGCGUGAGUGAAGAAGGCCUUCGGGUUGUAAAGCUCUUUCGCAAGAGAAGAAAACUUAUAAUCUAAUAUAUUGUGAGCAUGACGGUAUCUUGAUAAGAAGCACCGGCUAACUACGUGCCAGCAGCCGCGGUAAUACGUAGGGUGCAAGCGUUAAUCGGAAUUACUGGGCGUAAAGCGUGCGCAGGCAGUUUUAUAAGUCAGAUGUGAAAUCCCCGAGCUCAACUUGGGAACUGCGUUUGAAACUGUAAGACUAGAGUGUGUCAGAGGGGGUAGAAUUCCACGUGUAGCAGUGAAAUGCGUAGAGAUGUGGAGGAAUACCAAUGGCGAAGGCAGCCCCCUGGGAUAACACUGACGCUCAUGCACGAAAGCGUGGGGAGCAAACAGGAUU
Molecule: ribosomal RNA, 416 nt
Filed under: uncultured beta proteobacterium
Lineage: Bacteria; Pseudomonadati; Pseudomonadota; Betaproteobacteria
Description: bacterial SSU rRNA
Rfam family: Bacterial small subunit ribosomal RNA
Source: RNAcentral